Molecule: long non-coding RNA, 501 nt
Organism: Raphanus sativus (radish)
Lineage: Eukaryota; Viridiplantae; Streptophyta; Magnoliopsida; Brassicales; Brassicaceae
Exons: 3
Source: RefSeq, a predicted model, not a curated record
CCUGUAAUACAUGGAUGGGGCCUUUCUGCAAGAAGAAUUAUCUAUGAAUGUGGGGUUUGUCUGUUUUUUAUUGAGAGAGAAUGAUGAGAAACAAUAUUUUGUUUCAGAUUCUUAAAUGCAGACUGGAAUAGGUGAGACUUACCAUUGCAGACCUGAGAGAAGGAAAGAAUGCUAUAUGACUGUUCAAUAUCAGUGAGGAAGCAGUCGUUGAUGCUACAAAUAAAGGGAGUAUAGCUGGGCUUAUUAACCAUUAUUAAGCAGUUCCAUGUAAUGUUUCUUUUCAUUAGAAUAUAUGCUGGUUCCAUCACUCCUCCUUUCAGUGUAAGAUGCAGCGGUUUUUGAAGUGCAAUAAUGGUAAAUACACAAAUGCGUUGUUUGCCAAAUAUUUAAUAAACUUUAGUGAGACCGGUUUUCUGUAAACAUGAGUUGGUCAAAACCAUGUAAACAAAUUAUGAUGUCAUCUAACAUGUUCAAUUGCGAUAGAGAAACUCAGAUAAUAAA